AUCAGUUGUCAGCCUUUUGGCUAACUUCAAGUGUAUUAUCUGUUCUUAUCAGUUUAAUAUCUAAUAUGUCCUCUACCUUAGGACAAUGUAUUAAAUGGAUCUUUGGAGCAGGGAGACGGAGUAGGGGCUUUCUCCAUCCGCUCCAUGCACUGAUCUGGUAUUGUAGUACCUCCAGGAACGGUGCACCAAAA
This 191-nucleotide small nuclear RNA is filed under the name Dasypus novemcinctus (nine-banded armadillo). RNAcentral's name for it is "U2 spliceosomal RNA (ENSDNOG00000038705.1)". It matches the Rfam family "U2 spliceosomal RNA". Rfam says of the family: U2 is a small nuclear RNA (snRNA) component of the spliceosome (involved in pre-mRNA splicing). Complementary binding between U2 snRNA (in an area lying towards the 5' end but 3' to hairpin I) and the branchpoint sequence (BPS) of the intron results the bulging out of an unpaired adenosine, on the BPS, which initiates a nucleophilic attack at the intronic 5' splice site, thus starting the first of two transesterification reactions that mediate splicing. The record is from RNAcentral. Lineage: Eukaryota; Metazoa; Chordata; Mammalia; Cingulata; Dasypodidae.